This is a non-coding RNA of Danio rerio (zebrafish), 897 nucleotides long. NCBI's taxonomy places the organism in Eukaryota, Metazoa, Chordata, Actinopteri, Cypriniformes, Danionidae. The record is from RefSeq and is a predicted model, not a curated record.
AUUUUUUGAGAAGUGCACAUCAGUGACGGCGACGGCCACAUCGAAGGGCUAUGCGUCAGCGCCAUAGCAUACGCCGGCGUUUGACGCAGAAGUAUAAAUCAGCCUUAAGUCAAGAACCAAAUGAAGCACCAGAGUACAGAUUAUGGAGGUAUCUGAAGUUGAACUAACUGGAAGCAGGGAACCAUACUAAUAAAGUUCCUUAAGGUAAAAGCACCUGCUUUAUUUUGAUAGGAAGUAUUUUUUUAUAGAGUUCUAUUGUUUUAUUCUUAUUCUAAUUUUAUUUUCUUCAUAUACUGAAUGGAAGUCAUUCAAAUUUCACAACAAAUGAUUUGCAGAUUGAAUAUAAAAUAUAAUGACAUUUUAAUGCAUUAUUUCUUUUGGUUAUUCUUUACAUCUAUAUAUGGGCAAGUAUUUAAUCAAUGAAAAUAAUUUUUAACAACUUAACUAAACAAAUUACUCUGUUGGACCCUAGCAAAAUCCUCAAACUAACACACACUCUUGUGAAUGCAUUCUCACAUUCAUACACUCAAAAACACACAUUCAUACAACAGUCUGUCUCAGUCUGACUCACACACAACAUCCUCUCUCACAGAUUUUUCUAGCAAACCUCCACCACUAGCUUGUCCUUUUAUGCUGCUUUUAUUUCAAACAUUUUAUAGCAUGAUAUAGUCCAGGUUUUUAUCACUAAGUAUUUUUUUUUCCAUUCAGCAGUUUCCUUGUAAAGAUGAACCCAGGGAAGGAUCGAAAGUGGAGAAGACCAGAUCAAGAAAGACUACAUCAAGAUCUGCGGUCAGUUCAAAGGAUGUUUUGCAUUGGACUGUUUUUUUUGGCUUUGACCCUUGCUUGCCCCUGACCUCACUCUUGGACUGCCCUGUUGGAUUUUCAGUUUAUUUAAUU